Molecule: ribosomal RNA, 1113 nt
Filed under: Triticum aestivum (bread wheat)
Lineage: Eukaryota; Viridiplantae; Streptophyta; Magnoliopsida; Poales; Poaceae
Description: partial small subunit ribosomal RNA
Source: RNAcentral
AUGGACCACGGGUCCCCCUUCAAGGAGCUAGCACGCCUCAAGAACAGGAGGAAUGCGGGUGGGUUAAACAUGGUGACCAUGGCCGCACUACUCGUGGCCGCCAUCGCGAUGGCAACUGUUGUGCCAGUCACGAGCAUGGGCAUCACUGGUCAAGACCUAGAGUCGGAGGAGUCACUAUGGGAUCUCUAUGAGCGCUGGUGCGCGUUCAAUGAGGUGGCGCGUGAGCCCGAUGAGAAGUUGAUGCGCUUUAGCAUCUUCAAAAAUGUGCGCUUCAUUCAUGAGAAUAACCAGGGCGACGCGCGCUCCAAGCUCGGACUCAACAUUUUCGCCGACAGGACCCAUGCCGAGCUACCCAAAGUCGAAGCUGAUUGCACCUCGGCGGGCCACCUCCCGUACCACUUCGAUUACAUGCCUCAUACCGCAAUCACCAACGAGGACCUCCCUGACCGCGUUGAUUGGUGGGACCACCACGCGGUGACAAGCGUCAAGAAUCAAGGGCAGUAUUGCGGCGCAUGUUGGGCCUUCGUAGCCGCUGGCGCUGUGGAGGGCAUAACUGCUAUCAAGACCGGCAAGCUGGAGGAUCUGUCGCCGCAGAUGCUCGUCGACUGCGACAAAGCUAACCUUGGUUGCAGAUGUGGCGAGUCGUGGCGAGCCUUGGAUUUCAUAAAAAAGAACCGUAUAGCGACAGACAGGGCUUACCCGUACGACGGCAUUCAGCGUCGGUGCCACAUGAGGGCGGAUGGCCUUUCCCGCUUUGCUUCCAUAGAAGGGUUCCAUGUAGUAUACAGCAGCGAGAGGGCCUUGAUGGCGGCGGUGGCGGUCCAGCCCGUCAUAGUGGAAAUCGGGCUCGACAUAUACUUCCACUAUUACAGCGAGGACAUGGGCAUGUACACUGGUCCGUGCAACAAAACCAUCACCCACGCCGUCUUGGUGGUCGGCUAUGGCACUGACGCAUUCCUACGAAGAUACUGGAUCUUGAAGAACUCGUGGGGCACCAAAUGGGGUCAUGCAGGGUACAUGUACAUGGCGCGCGAUGUGGGAGGCCCUCAGGGCCUAUGCGCCAUCCUAUCCUUCCCGAUCGUUCCGGUGUGGAGACCUAAGCACAGCAGAUAA